RNAcentral lists this ribosomal RNA (253 nucleotides) under uncultured bacterium. RNAcentral's name for it is "partial 16S ribosomal RNA". It matches the Rfam family "Bacterial small subunit ribosomal RNA", at positions 524 to 776 of the family's 1533-position model. The record is from RNAcentral.
UACGUAGGGGGCAAGCGUUGUCCGGAUUUAUUGGGCGUAAAGCGCGCGUAGGCGGCGCGGUAUGUCGUGCGUGAAAUCUCCCCGGCUUAAUGGGAGGGGCCGUGCGAAACUGCCGGGCUUGAGGUCGGAAGGGGAAAGUGGAAUUCCGGGUGUAGUGGUGGAAUACGUAGAUAUCCGGAGGAACACCAGCGGCGAAGGCGGCUUCUGGUCCGAAUACUGACGCUGAGGUGCGAAAGCGUGGGGAGCGAUCCGG